Molecule: long non-coding RNA, 1508 nt
Organism: Cercocebus atys (sooty mangabey)
Lineage: Eukaryota; Metazoa; Chordata; Mammalia; Primates; Cercopithecidae
Exons: 6
Source: RefSeq, a predicted model, not a curated record
GUACUUGGUGGACGUGGUGUAACUCAGACACCACAUUCUCUGUGGUGACUCCCUUUUGUAAAACCAUAGCUGCUGGCCCUUGGCAUCCUGUGACUUCUAAAACAGUGACAAAACAAGAAAAAGAAGAUAGAAGGGAAAAAUGAGAAGUGAUCACGGGAAGAAGAAAAUGUGGAGGAACAAAGACACAUGGUGAUACUGGGGUUGGAGUUACUUUGGAACUCCAGAGUGGCAUGUAACAGCCUUCUUAUCCAAGUCCUGGCACAGGCCUGGUUACCUACUAAAAGUUGCUAUGGACCUCCCAGGUUCAAGGUCAUGUAACCUGAGCAUGCCCAGAUGAACCAAAUGUGCAACCACUGGUGGAACCUAAGUGCUCAGACCAAGGAACAGGGACUGAAUUAAGAAGCAGACACCACUGACAUCAUGACUCCCAGCAGCAACUCAUUGCAAGCUCCAAUCAGAUCACCCCUCAUUAUCCUAUACUUAAGAAACCUGACGCAGGCUGGGCGCUGGUGACUCAUGCGUGUAAUCUCAGCACUUUGGGAAGCCACGGAUGCAGAGAGUCUUAGGAAGAAUUUGAUGUGAUUGGAGGUGGGGAAAGGUACCCUAAAAUACUUAGUCUCCUGAAUCGCUGGGAUUUUAGGCACAAGCCACUGCACCUGGCAUCAAUUGUAUAUUGAAAAGCAGAAAGAGGAGAUCAAGAGGUAACUUUCAGGUUUUGAACAUAGAGGUUAGCAAGAAAAAAAGGUCAUAGGAAUGGUGGAAGAGGUGAGAUGAAUGGUGGAAAAGAAAGGGGAAGAGAUAAGGUAAGUCUGACUAACAAUUUAUUUUAACUUUCUCCAAUUCCUCUAUAACAUAAAUGCAGGUUUGCAAGAUUUUGUAGGUGAUUGUAUACGUAGAGGUAAAAUAAAGUUAUAAUGUGAAUACUGUUGGGGGGAUGCAAUAUCCUAAUCUGAAAAACAAAAACUACAUGAAAACACAGAACAACUCUGCCCAUUUUUCCAAACUAACAUCGUUUUUUGUCAUUAAAAGAAAAAUCUUGUUCUCUCUUUCUGCUGUGAUGUGUGUGCAUGUCUGGCUUGCACGGAAAUGAGGACCUGAAGAGAGAUGGGGGAUGUACGAUACGGGCAUAAAAUCCACUUUGUAAACAUGUUCAUCAUUCCAUAAUGGCAUCCCCUUUGGUAUUUACAGAAGAUUUCUCCUUGUGUGUUUUACACAAACGUGAGUAUGACUAACGUGAAUUUCUGCUCAUUUGCCUUUUCUAGGUGGAAUUGUGUAGCCCAAUAAACACAAUAAUAAAGAAGGCUUCCUAAAGACAAAGUGAGGAUUUCUCAGUGUGCUUUUUAUUAAAGGAUGGAGAAAAUCUUGCAUUUGGCUACAGGUUGACAUUUUCAAAAGCCUACUCUGAGACAAUUAUGUAUCAUACACAUUUUUAAAGUUUUUAGAAAAUUGUCAAUGCUGUAUAUGCUACUUAAGAAAACAUGGAAUAAAAAAAAAAAAAAAGAAGUGAA